AGCAAACUUUUCGCUUAUUCUCUAAUUACCGGAUCCGGUCCGGAUUGUUACGGAAAGAACGUAAUGUUUGUGGGUGGGGUUGUUUGCUUUUUGCUGCCGUUAAAAAGCUCGACGAGGCUAGUCUUCUCAAGGGCCGCUUUACGCAUUAACCCGGUAUGCCAAUAUAAAUAGAGAGUGAGGGGAUUUGAAAAAGGAUUCUCGAUGAGAUGGAUGUGUAAGGCAAUUUUGGAUUAGAAGUCGCCUCUUGAAUUAGUCGCCAAAGCGUCGGCAGAUUUCUCCACGACGAUGUCACUUGUACUCUAGGAAUGCUAACCACAGACAGUGACAAAACACCUGCGAAUCGACAGUGUGAGGUGUCGUCUGACUACAAGCCGGUUACCCGCAUCGACGCUCAUCAGAAACGCCGUACGAAGGACACAAAUGAUUCGCGCGCUGCAGGUGUAAAAGCCUGGAGGAUAUGUGUAUAAAAACAAUAAAGCCCUCUAGCCAAAGGACGAAAAUUUGGCUUUUGUUUGCGUCCAACCAACAACAGGAAAUACAAACCGUGCCCGCACUAAGCCGAGAGCCGACGGAGUUGUAGUAACGUGACGUGCCGAAAAUGGCAAAGUACUCCUCGAAGUAACUUGAGUAAACUUGAGUAAAGUACAGCAAAAUUGUCAAGUAAAAAUUGCCAAAUUGCUCCGAGACAAGAAAAGUGGAAACAACAAAAAACAAAAAACAACAGCCAAACAGCGAUAGUAUAGUGCAAACAAACAAC
Molecule: long non-coding RNA, 757 nt
Organism: Rhagoletis pomonella (apple maggot)
Lineage: Eukaryota; Metazoa; Arthropoda; Insecta; Diptera; Tephritidae
Exons: 2
Source: RefSeq, a predicted model, not a curated record